GGUUUAAGUACCAUGCCGAAUUCACACCUACUCAAUCAACAUUUCUAAGCCACUUAUAAGACAAAUUAUAAUUACAUAUCAUAAUUCAAAAUGCAUUCAACAUCUACUUCAUUUCCUAGAUUGAAUUACAAGACUAUUAAUCACAUAAGAUAUAUCUUGAAACUUACUUUCAAAAUAAUCUAAAUACAAGGCCGAUUCAUAUCUUAAUUAAAAUCAACAACAAGCCAUAUUUGCAUGGCUACAUAUAUAUAUUCACUUCAAAAUUUAGCCAAAUACACACUAGCCUAUACAUGCCAAAGAUUUAUAAUUCAAGCUUUUAAAAUACCAAAAUAACGGUCGAUAGUGUAAUGAACUUCCUUGGCGAUCCCCGAACUCGUAACUAGCUUUCUAAAAGUCUAUAAUACAUCAAAUGAAUACACACAACGUAAGCUUAGAGAGCUUAGUAAGUCGUAAGCAAAUAAAAUAUAUAUAUAGACAUUAACCACAUUUUUCUAUCUUUGGCCAAAUAUAAAUAGUCAUAUAUAUACAUAUAAUUUACCUUUUAUAACAUGUAUAAAUUACUUCAUUAUUUCGAGUACUUCUUACCAUGUUUCAAAUAAAAAUAAAACAUUUUAAUUUACAGAUGCAUAUACCAUUCAAAAACAAAAAGGAUACUCGAAUAUUUGCACGAAGCUUGUACAAUGCCAACGUCUCGGACGUGGUCUUACAUGUAAUUACAUAUCGAUGCCAUUGUCUCAGACAGGGUCUUACACGUAAUUAUAUACGAUGCCAAUGUCCCAGACAUGGUCUUUUACGUAAAUAUCAAAUCGAGCCAACAUCCUAGAUGUGGUCUUACACGAUGUCACAUUUAAACAUUUCUAUAGUUCGUAUAUCUUUCGAAUGUCAUAAAUCAACCAAGUAGAACUCAUAAUUAAUCAUCAAUUUUCAAAUACAAUUCAGCAUAUUAAAGUACAGCAAACACAUUUAGAUUUUGAAUGCCCUUUAAAUAAAUAUAGUAAUUUAAUUUCAACAAUUUACUUACGAACUUACCUCGGACGAAUGCGAACGAACUGGACAACUAUUUGGCAACUUUAGAUUUCCCCCGAUCCAAUUCUGAUUUCCUCUUUUCUUGAUCUAAAUUAUUACAAAUUUGUCUUGUUUAUUAACAUAUUCACUCAAUUUCAUCCACAAACACAUAAUUUGGGAAAUUUUCACUUUAUCCCCUAAAAUUUACUUUUUUUACAAUUUAGUCCAUAUUUAAAAAAACUCAAAAUACACACAAUUUAAAAAAAUUCCCUAGCUUGGCCGAAUCUUCCUAUAGCCCAUAUAAGCCUACAUAUUUCAUUUAUUUCACAUUUUAGCCCCUCCAUUUUUCAUUUUCACAAUUAAACUCAAAAUACUUAUAUUCAUCAAAAAUCUCAAUACAAAACAUAUUAAUCUAACACCUAUAUUUAAAAAUUCAGCAAUUAACAUCAUUAAAUUCAUAAAUUUAUCAAUGACCUAUCUCACAAUCUUCAUCCAAAUCAAAAAUUGAGGCAUGGGCUUAAUAAUAUGUUAAACAACAAUCAUAAAAACAUGGAAAUUAUCAAAAAUAAAUCAAAAUGCAUACCUUAAUCACCCAAAUUCAUGGCCGAACCCUAUCUCCAAUUUUUUUUUCUCUUUUCUUGUUAGUAUCGUCCAAAGAUGGACAU
Molecule: long non-coding RNA, 1670 nt
Filed under: Gossypium raimondii (Peruvian cotton)
Lineage: Eukaryota; Viridiplantae; Streptophyta; Magnoliopsida; Malvales; Malvaceae
Description: long non-coding RNA (GRAI_LNC010741)
Source: RNAcentral